UUGCUAUAGGUGUAAUUAAAGAAUGAUCAUUACCUCUGGGACUGUAUGAAAAUGAAAUGGUAUGAAGAAAAGAUACUGAGCACAAUAACAAAGAGUAAGGAAAGAAAAAAGAGAGAGAGAGAGAAUACAGAUGUAAACUGCAGAAAUCCUGACAUUCUGGAGUAA
RNAcentral lists this long non-coding RNA (165 nucleotides) under Mustela putorius furo (domestic ferret). RNAcentral's name for it is "lncRNA (ENSMPUG00000027756.1)". The record is from RNAcentral. Lineage: Eukaryota; Metazoa; Chordata; Mammalia; Carnivora; Mustelidae.